GUCAAGGACUGGAAGUCAGAAAGGCACGCAGGACGAACAGAAAUGCCAGCCAUUGGUGAAAAUAAUCGCUAGCAAGGGAGCAUUGUCCCCUCGAUGGGAUGGACCUCAUGAGGUUUUAAAGGGCUGUCUUCUGUAAUCACCAACAAACAGCAGGAACAGGAUCCUUCACCCCCGGAAGGGAACUGGAAUAGAUUAAAUUUGCAUAUAUGUGACGUAUGCAUGGUGGAAACUGUAAUUAAGAAUAUUGCUGAAAUUAUAUACGACUGGGAAAGGGCCAUGGACCAAGGCAGGUAUCCUGAAUAUGCACCACCAAGUCAACAGACAACUACUGGAAUGAUAAAAGGAAAUGACCAGUGUAUCGAAUGAUGAGAAGACGAUCAUGAAUGUGGCUUCACUGAAGGAGGAAUACUUUUUGCUUGCUUACAAAAUCGCAGACUAAGCAAAACUAAAGAGCCUGCUCGCACAGGGAAACAUAAUAGGACCUUCGAACAAGAUGACUCCGAGGAUCAAAUUGAAGCAACUGAAGUAGCUGUAUAAUUUUACAUGUUAUAACCAACUUUACAACAUAAAUUAACCUUACAGCAAUUAGUUAAAACUAACUGUCAUUUGUACAUUUACAUAUAUAAUUCAGACAGUGAUAAUUAUUAAAGGAAUAACUGAAUUUGAUGAAGAUAAGUACAUGAAAUGCAAUUUAAGCUGCCCUUAGAAAUAAACAAGCCUGAGACAGAUCCAAAGGAGUACAGCUGGUAACUUUGGAAUGCAAAUGAACAGGAUGCAUAGAAAGAUCCCAAAGCCUAGGGACUACAAUGUCUGGUAAACGCCACAAACCGUGGGAACCUAGGGCUGUCAAUCAGAAUGCCCAUCAUUGAUUGGCAUCACGUUGGGUGGGGUAUGUGGAUUAAGGGGGAUCUUUGUAAUAGAA
Long non-coding RNA from Stegostoma tigrinum, 922 nucleotides. RefSeq lists it as uncharacterized. The record is from RefSeq and is a predicted model, not a curated record. Lineage: Eukaryota; Metazoa; Chordata; Chondrichthyes; Orectolobiformes; Stegostomatidae. The transcript is spliced from 3 exons.